AGGCAGUUAGUAUAAAUUAAAACAUUUGAUUUCGGCUCAAAAGAUUAUGGUUCAACUCCACAACUGGCUA
This 70-nucleotide transfer RNA is filed under the name Calotomus japonicus (Japanese parrotfish). Its description in RNAcentral is "tRNA-Arg". It matches the Rfam family "tRNA". Rfam says of the family: Transfer RNA (tRNA) molecules are approximately 80 nucleotides in length. The record is from RNAcentral. Lineage: Eukaryota; Metazoa; Chordata; Actinopteri; Labriformes; Labridae.